Molecule: long non-coding RNA, 1705 nt
Organism: Peromyscus leucopus (white-footed mouse)
Lineage: Eukaryota; Metazoa; Chordata; Mammalia; Rodentia; Cricetidae
Exons: 3
Source: RefSeq, a predicted model, not a curated record
AUAAAAUAUACACCCACUUUCCUGUAGGCUAUAGACAAUCUGAUGGAGGUUCAUCCUCAGUCACAGUUCUCUCUUUUUUGAUGCCUUGUACACACUAUUACCACACAAAGGGAAAGAUCAAUUCUAUAUCCAGAGGAAAAGUCACCAAACGCAGGGUGCUCUGGUAGAACACCUGUCAGUAAGCAGCUGCCAGUAGCUGUGGAGCUGGCCAGGACCUGUAUGGAGCAGAUUUAGACCUGGAGGAUUGAGUGCUAAAGCUCAGGAGGGGACUAUGUGGACACUGUGCUCUGUCUGGCAUGGGUCUGAGAGAAGCCCAUGGCUCUGAUCUGCCUGCUAGAGAAGACUGGAGGCAGAGAGGGACCCUGACUGGAACUCCUUCCAGUCAGUCUGAUGGUCCCCAUCCUGCUUCUGUGUAGGGAACAAGGAAGCCAUGAAUGAGCGAAGUCCUGAGGAAAUGUAUAUUUAGACUUGGAUGGGGCCAUCUAGGACUCAGAGACCAACUGUCCCCCCAUCAAUAGGCAGAGCCAUCACCCAUAUGGUCCAGGCUCAAGAGGAAUGGCCACACUUUCCUCGGGAGUCAAGCAUGAUUGUUUAUCAAUGAUUGACCAGUGUGUGCAGACCAGCAACUGUAGUUUCUUCCUCCUCCAGGGUGUUUCCAGCCUGAGCCUGCUCAUGUACAGAGACCUCCACCCAGUCUAGCUGAUCUCCCCCUGUGCUGUACCUAAUGAACAGGCCGAUCGUCCAGCAUCCAAAGCCAAAAGGCAGACAGGACAAAGCAUUUUCGACCAUCCAAUGAGUCUCCUGAACUGAGAUUUCCCCUUGGAUGGCAGACACCUCCAAGUUUCAGUUGCUGAAUACACUGUUCUGGAUGACUGUGAGCUCCAGACUAAAGCUGACAUGGACCAGUCCAGCGGACCUGAUUUGUUCCCUGUCUCUACGGGGUCAGAUAGACACAUGUUUCUGCCAAUGCCCCAUUGCCCAGCCUUUGACUAGCAUUUUUUGGGCCCUGACAAUGGCACCCCAAUGCCAGGUUGAAGCAGCUCCAUAAGAAAAUAUGUCAUCCCAUGUUCCCUGUCCAGAGAAGGCUGAAAUGCUGGGUCAAAAGGACACUCGCUGGAAGAGAGGCAAGAUGGCCAACUAUAAUGUUCAUUGACAUACCAUGAAAAUAGGUUCAGAGUUGUCAAUUGAUAAAGUUAUUAGCCUAAAUGGUUCUGAAAUAAGAUAAGAACUUGACAUUCUUUGUGCAGAACCAAAGAGGUAUUACAUAAGAUUCUAAUCUGGUUGCCCUCAAAGAUCAGAACUACAAGGCCUUAAGAAUGAGAGUAGAUAAAGAUGUCACUGCCCUAGAAAAAUCUAUUAGCUAAUGGUUUGUAGGAACCCAUGCCCUUGCCUCCCUGGACAGGUAGGACUCAUGAUUGAGCCCUAUCUUUGGUACCUGUGAAGGGGGGAAUGUUGAGGGUCCCCAGCACAGCUUGACCACACAGCAGCCAUGACAGGCUUAGGUGUCCAGAUACUGCUUCUGUGACUGGCUUACUGGCAGGCAACCCCAGAUCCAGGAAAAGCCAUAAACUGACACCACCCAGGGAUCCACUGAGGGAUGAGGAAGUAACUGACAUCCCAAGCAUGCCAAACAUUAGAUAAGGUGGCCAAAUAUCCCUGAGUCUAGCACAAACCUAUUUUUGUUUUCUAGAUACCCCUAGACAAU